UCUUUGGCCUUCUGAUCUCUUCAGCUUUAUUUGUUUAUUUGGAGACAGUCUCUUUCUGCCACCCAGGCUGGAGUGCAAUGGUGCAGUCUUGGCGCACUGUAACCGCUGCCUCCAGGGUUCAAGCGAUUCUCCUGCCUCAGCUUCCCAAGUAGCUGGGAUUACAGGCGUCUGCCACCACGCCCAGCUAAUUUUUGUAUUUUUAGUAGAGACGGGGUUUUACCACGUUUGCCAAGCUGGUCUCGAACUCCUGACCUCAGGUAAUCCACCUGCCUCGUCUUCAGUUUAGUUAUACCUUCUUUGACCCAGAAUUUGGUAAAGACCAGAGGGAGCCUCUUAGAAUCUUAUCUGUAAAACUCAGGAGCCGAGAAGCUUUAAGAACAGUGAGGUUGAAGGGCACAGGCUCUUCGUCCUUGGCAGCGAUACUAGGAGGCGUGCCUAGGGAACCUAGGAUUCUGGGGAGCUGGACGUGAAACUCUGUGGUGGAAUAGAAAUCCUCAGGGCAUGAGCUAUACCUAAAAAG
This 520-nucleotide small RNA is filed under the name Pongo abelii (Sumatran orangutan). RNAcentral describes it as "processed transcript". The record is from RNAcentral. Lineage: Eukaryota; Metazoa; Chordata; Mammalia; Primates; Hominidae.